GAUGAACGCUAGCUACAGGCUUAACACAUGCAAGUCGCGGGGCAGCAUGGGGGUUGCUUGCAAUCCCCGAUGGCGACCGGCGCACGGGUGCGUAACGCGUAUCCAACCUGCCCUUCACCACGGGAUAACCCGGCGAAAGUCGGACUAAUACCGUAUGUUGUCCAUUGACGGCAUCCGCUUUGGACGAAAGGUUUGGCGGGGAAGGAUGGGGAUGCGUCCGAUUAGCUGGACGGCGGGGUGACGGCCCACCGUGGCGACGAUCGGUAGGGGUGCUGAGAGGAAGGUCCCCCAUCCUGGAACUGAGACACGGUCCAGACUCCUACGGGAGGCAGCAGUGAGGAAUAUUGGUCAAUGGGCGUAAGCCUGAACCAGCCAAGUAGCGUGCAGGAUGACGGCCCUAUGGGUUGUAAACUGCUUUUAUGCGGGGAUAAAGUGGCCCCCGUGUGGGUUUUUGCAGGUACCGCAUGAAUAAGGACCGGCUAAUUCCGUG
Molecule: ribosomal RNA, 490 nt
Filed under: uncultured bacterium
Lineage: Bacteria
Description: partial 16S ribosomal RNA
Rfam family: Bacterial small subunit ribosomal RNA
Source: RNAcentral